Molecule: transfer RNA, 90 nt
Filed under: Reinekea forsetii
Lineage: Bacteria; Pseudomonadati; Pseudomonadota; Gammaproteobacteria; Oceanospirillales; Saccharospirillaceae
Description: tRNA-Ser
Rfam family: tRNA
About the family: Transfer RNA (tRNA) molecules are approximately 80 nucleotides in length.
Source: RNAcentral
GGUGAGUUGUCCGAGUGGCUUAAGGAGCACGCCUGGAAAGCGUGUAAACGAGGAAUCGUUUCGAGAGUUCGAAUCUCUCACUCACCGCCA